Molecule: ribosomal RNA, 253 nt
Filed under: uncultured bacterium
Lineage: Bacteria
Description: partial 16S ribosomal RNA
Rfam family: Bacterial small subunit ribosomal RNA
Source: RNAcentral
UACGAAGGUCCCAAGCGUUGUUCGGAAUCACUGGGCGUAAAGGGCGCGUAGGCGGCCUUCUAAGUCGGACGUGAAAUCCCCAGGCUUAACUUGGGAACUGCGUCCGAUACUGGAAGGCUCGAGUGCGGGAGAGGGAUGCGGAAUUCCAGGUGUAGCGGUGAAAUGCGUAGAUAUCUGGAGGAACACCGGUGGCGAAGGCGGCAUCCUGGACCGACACUGACGCUGAGGCGCGAAAGCCAGGGGAGCAAACGGG